Molecule: ribosomal RNA, 84 nt
Filed under: Bacillus subtilis
Lineage: Bacteria; Bacillati; Bacillota; Bacilli; Caryophanales; Bacillaceae
Also listed under: 3 other names
Description: partial 16S ribosomal RNA
Rfam family: Bacterial small subunit ribosomal RNA
Source: RNAcentral
CGAAGGUGGGACAGAUGAUUGGGGUGAAGUCGUAACAAGGUAGCCGUAUCGGAAGGUGCGGCUGGAUCACCUCCUUUCUAAGGA